CAUUAGUGAAUCUUCAAAGUCGGCUUCUCAGAUUGUGCUGGUGGAGACACAUGUGCACAUCUGUGAGUCGCAAAUCCACACACCGGUGCAUCUAUGACUCUGAGUGCCGCUUUGAUUGCCUUGACUGGCCUGGCACUCUCGAGUACUUUCACACAGUCUUGAAUGUAAUGGAAUGUCUUGUUGUGCAUAAUGUACAAAUGAAACAACUUUCAACAACGGAUCUCUUGGCUCUCGCAUCGAUGAAGAACGCAGCGAAAUGCGAUAAGUAAUGCGAAUUGCAGAAUUCAGUGAAUCAUCGAGUCUUUGAACGCACCUUGCACCCUUUGGUAUUCUGAAGGGUACGCCCGUUUGAGUGUCAUUGUAAUCUCACUACGAUUGACUUUAUUGUCUUUUGGUAUGUGGACUUGGAUGCUGCUGUGAAUAUCAAUGGCUCGUCUGGAAUGCCUCAGUGUACCCUGCUUUGCGGCGUAUUCGGUGUGAUAAAUCUUCACCGGAGUUGAUCCUUAUGGUCGCGUCUGUAAUGUGUGGCUCUAUGCUUCCAACCGUCUUUCAUGGACAAUCUCUGACAAUUUG
Molecule: ribosomal RNA, 573 nt
Filed under: Serendipita sp.
Lineage: Eukaryota; Fungi; Basidiomycota; Agaricomycetes; Sebacinales; Serendipitaceae
Also listed under: 1 other name
Description: partial contains internal transcribed spacer 1, 5.8S ribosomal RNA, and internal transcribed spacer 2
Rfam family: 5.8S ribosomal RNA (bases 205-358)
Source: RNAcentral